UACGUAGGGUGCAAGCGUUGUCCGGAAUUAUUGGGCGUAAAGAGCUUGUAGGCGGUUUGUCGCGUCUGCUGUGAAAUUUCGGGGCUCAACCCCCGAACUUGCAGUGGGUACGGGCAGACUAGAGUGUGGUAGGGGAGACUGGAAUUCCUGGUGUAGCGGUGGAAUGCGCAGAUAUCAGGAGGAACACCGGUGGCGAAGGCGGGUCUCUGGGCAGUAACUGACGCUGAGGAGCGAAAGCGUGGGGAGCGAACAGG
RNAcentral lists this ribosomal RNA (254 nucleotides) under uncultured bacterium. Its description in RNAcentral is "partial 16S ribosomal RNA". It matches the Rfam family "Bacterial small subunit ribosomal RNA", at positions 524 to 776 of the family's 1533-position model. The record is from RNAcentral.